GCACGCACGCGCACACACACACACACACCUCUCUCUCUCUCUCUCUCUCUCUGUGUGUGUGUGUGUGUGUGUGUGUGUGUGUGUGUGU
Molecule: non-coding RNA, 88 nt
Organism: Podarcis lilfordi (Lilford's wall lizard)
Lineage: Eukaryota; Metazoa; Chordata; Lepidosauria; Squamata; Lacertidae
Source: the annotation of a GenBank genome assembly